AAUCUUCCGCAAUGGACGAAGGUCUGACGGCGCAACGCCGCGUGAGGGAUGAAGGUUUUCGGAUCGUAAAGCUCUCUUGUUCGGGAAGAACAAGUAUCGGAGUCACGUCCGGUACCUUGACGGUACCUGACGCGAAAGCCACGGCUAACCACGGGCCAGCAGCCGCGGUAAUACGUAGGUGGCAAGCGUUGUCCGGAUUUAUUGGGCGUAAAGCGCGCGCAGGCGGUGUUUUAAGUCUGAUGUGAAAUCUUACAGCUUAACUGUAAGCGGACAUUGGAAACAGGGAGACUUGAGUGCAGAAGAGGAGAGUGGAAUUCCAUGUGUAGCGGUGAAAUGCGUAGAGAUAUGGAGGAACACCAGUGGCGAAGGCGACUCUCUGGUCUGUAAAUGACGCUGAGGCGCGAAAGCGUGGGGAUCAAACA
Molecule: ribosomal RNA, 422 nt
Filed under: uncultured bacterium
Lineage: Bacteria
Description: partial 16S ribosomal RNA
Rfam family: Bacterial small subunit ribosomal RNA
Source: RNAcentral